AAGUCGUAACAAGGUUUCCGUAGGUGAACCCUGCGGAAGGAUAUUAAAAGUAAUUGGUUAUCACAUAUCCUGUAUCAGCUGGCACAACCCAUUCCGAGUACCUUGCCUGAUUGCUUCCAUGGGGCCUGACUUUGUCACUGCUUUGUGAUGCGAAUCCCAAGAGAGUCCCCCAUGGGGGGUAAUAUUAAAUUCAUGAAUCCAAUGUCUUCUGUCGAAAUGUUAAAACAAUGUUAAA
This 235-nucleotide unclassified non-coding RNA is filed under the name plant metagenome. Its description in RNAcentral is "partial contains small subunit ribosomal RNA and internal transcribed spacer 1". The record is from RNAcentral.